UUCAAAUGCACAAAGAUUGUACGACUGUUCUGAUGGUGAAUACUGUCCUGUGUGGCCACACAGGUGUAGUUGUCAGUCUUGGUCACAGCAAUAUGGAGGACAACGUCAUAUUUCUUUUUUUCUCUUUCUGUAACCUUUGGUUCAUAAGCUGGAAGGAUCUUUCCAUCACUGUCCGUCCAGACAACUUCAGGUUUUGGAAAAGCACCCAGAACUUCACACUGAAGCAGCGCUGAGUCCUUAGUUUGAUCAAGUAUUGUGACAUAAUGCUCUGGAGACUCACCUUCUAUCUCUGGUCUGGGUUUUAA
Stegastes partitus (bicolor damselfish) is the source of this 305-nucleotide long non-coding RNA. RefSeq lists it as uncharacterized. The transcript is spliced from 3 exons. The record is from RefSeq and is a predicted model, not a curated record. NCBI's taxonomy places the organism in Eukaryota, Metazoa, Chordata, Actinopteri, Pomacentridae.